RNAcentral lists this transfer RNA (77 nucleotides) under Holosporales bacterium. Its description in RNAcentral is "tRNA-Arg". It matches the Rfam family "tRNA". From Rfam's summary of the family: Transfer RNA (tRNA) molecules are approximately 80 nucleotides in length. Their secondary structure includes four short double-helical elements and three loops (D, anti-codon, and T loops). Lineage: Bacteria; Pseudomonadati; Pseudomonadota; Alphaproteobacteria; Holosporales. The record is from RNAcentral.
GCGCUCAUAGCUCAAUUGGAUAGAGCGUCAGACUACGGAUCUGAAGGUUGAGAGUUCGAGUCUUUCUGAGCGCGCCA